Molecule: ribosomal RNA, 369 nt
Filed under: uncultured bacterium
Lineage: Bacteria
Description: bacterial SSU rRNA
Rfam family: Bacterial small subunit ribosomal RNA
Source: RNAcentral
GUAGGGUGCGAGCGUUAAUCGGAAUUACUGGGCGUAAAGCGUGCGCAGGCGGUUAUAUAAGACAGAUGUGAAAUCCCCGGGCUCAACCUGGGACCUGCAUUUGUGACUGUAUAGCUAGAGUACGGUAGAGGGGGAUGGAAUUCCGCGUGUAGCAGUGAAAUGCGUAGAUAUGCGGAGGAACACCGAUGGCGAAGGCAAUCCCCUGGACCUGUACUGACGCUCAUGCACGAAAGCGUGGGGAGCAAACAGGAUUAGAUACCCUGGUAGUCCACGCCCUAAACGAUGUCAACUGGCUGUUGGGUCUUCACUGACUCAGUAACGAAGCUAACGCGUGAAGUUGACCGCCUGGGGAGUACGGCCGCAAGGUUG